Long non-coding RNA from Drosophila persimilis, 631 nucleotides. RefSeq lists it as uncharacterized. The record is from RefSeq and is a predicted model, not a curated record. The transcript is spliced from 4 exons. Lineage: Eukaryota; Metazoa; Arthropoda; Insecta; Diptera; Drosophilidae.
GGAUUUUCAGAAUUAGACUAUACUUAUUGAGCUGGAGCUCGUGUCGACAACGUGUAAAUGGAUUCCCUGAGCGUAGCCAUAUUUCUCUAUGGGCGUUUCUACUUUAAUUUGUUGUUCCCCUAUGGCUCUAUGAACGCGACCAUUCAAGAGGCCCUCGGAGAGGAAUAUAUGUUGAGGAGCGAAGAAGAAUAUCCCGAGAUGCGUCACAUCCUUUUCCUGCUUUUAUUGGCGUUCAAUGUGUGUAUGGAGCUGUAGCAACAAUCCAUCCACAAUCCGUAAUGUUAAAAGCAGCAGCAUGAUGUUUCUUAUGAUUUUUUUAUUUAAAAAGGUAUCCUUAAGCUAAUCUGAACAUAUUGGAAACAACUUAAGAUCCUUAGAAGCAUCCACACAAUGCGUCACAGCUUUUUAUUGAUACUGCUACCAGUUGAAUCCGUAUGGCUACACAAACUUGACCAUUCAGGAGGCUCUCGGGGAUGAAUAUGUGAUGUGGAGGGGCGUCUUCAAACAAUUAUUCAAUUAUUAUGAAAUACACGACACUCUUCUGUGUGUAAUGGCAAUUAAUAAUUAAGCCACUAGCUAUCAAUACAAUACAAUACCAAAUGUUAAAGCCCUCCAUCAAGAGCCGUUGAUG